Molecule: RNA transcript, 6782 nt
Organism: Marmota monax (woodchuck)
Lineage: Eukaryota; Metazoa; Chordata; Mammalia; Rodentia; Sciuridae
Gene: Tmem44
Gene name: transmembrane protein 44
Exons: 12
Source: RefSeq, a predicted model, not a curated record
GAGCCGUGCGGUCCCGGAAACUUUCCCCGGGUGUCGCCGUGGCCGCGCGCGCCCGGGAGCGCGGAGCGGGGCGCGCCCACCUCUGCCGCGGCGGCCGAGGGGAGCCUGGAGAAGGGUGCGCAGGCGGCGCCCCGGCUGCCCGCAGCGGAGGAGGCUGGAGCUCCGGCCGGGCGGUGCGCGCCGAGCGGUGCCAUGGGGGAGGCGCCCAGCUCCGCGCCCUCGCCCGCGCUCUGGGACUGGGACUACCUGGACCACUGCUUCGCCCGCCACCGCGUCUGCAUCUCCUUUGGCCUGUGGAUCUGCGCCUCCUCCUGCUGGAUCGCCGCCCACGCGCUGCUUCUCUACCUGAGAUGUACAAAGAAACAUGGGCAGGGUCAGUCCCCACUGUGCGCCGCCUGCUGCCUCCUGACCAGCCUGUGCGACACCGUUGGGGCGAUUCUGGCCAGACAGCUCACGAUCCAGGUUUUCAGUGGUGCCUACCUAGCCACUAUUGACUUAGCCAACUUCAUGUUCAUCCUCUUCCCAGUCUGUGGAUCCAAAUUCAAGUCUCAUUCGGGCCGACACACCAGAAAGAGGAAGAGGAGGAAGCAGCUCAGAGCUGGCGUAUUUGCCCUGGCUCUGCCUCUGAGCCUGGGCCCAGGCUGGGCUCUCUGGGCUGCUGUUCCAAAGGCUUCAGCUCUGGUCCGGGGGCCCCAGCGGAGGCUGCUGGGAAGCCUGCUGCAGGAAAAUACCGAAGUCCUCGGCUACCUGCUGGGUGUCAUUGCUGCCUUGGGCGCCUGGGCCUCUCGGAUACCCCCACUCUCCAGAAUCUGCCGGGGGAAGUCAUUCUCCUACAUCCACCUGUGGACACGGCUGCUGUCCGCCCUGGCGGGCCUCCUCUACGCCUCAGCCAUUGUGGCCCAUGACCGGCAGCCCGAGUACCUGCUUCGGGCUACACCCUGGUUCCUGACCUCCCUGGGCCGAGCUGCUCUGGACCUUGCUAUCAUCUUCCUUUCGUGUGUGAUGAAGAGCAAGAUGAGGCAAGCCUUAGGAUUCUCCACAGAAGCCAGAGAGAGCCCCGACACCCAGGCCCUUCUGACCUGUGCAGAGGAGGAGGGAGAGAACCAGGAGGCUGGGACCAAGGACAAGACUUCAGAUUGGGUGCCACUCACCACCCUGUCACACUGCAAGUCACUGAAGAUGAUGGCAGCAAUCAGUCAUUACAUGGAGCUGACCGUCGAGCCUAUACAGCAGGCAAGCUGUGGUGCCAUGAGACUGCCUGGUGAUGGACAGACCAGCACAGGAGACGCGUCACUGCAAGAGCCCCCCUCAUACCCUCCCGUUCAGGUCAUCCGGGCCCGAGUGUCUUCCAGCAGCUCCUCUGAGGUGUCCUCCAUCAACUCAGACCUGGAGCAGAAGUAUUGGGAGGCCCUAAACUCGGAGCAGUGGGAUCCUGAAGAUGUCAAUUUUGAAAGGAACAAUGACAACAUGGAGACCUUCAGAUUCCAGGUGCCGAGGGGCUCUUCGACGACAGUAGACUUCAGCUCUGCUGAUUAGUAUCUUCUAAAAACCAGUCCAUCAGCUCAAAGACUAGGAUGAGGCAUUCAUCAGUAAAACUGAGCAGAGAUCGGACCUACAGUGACACCCAUAGCAGGGAUUUAAGCCACUGAAGAAGCUGCCCAGGGAAGUGAGGAACCUGGAGCUGAGCGUGGCUGGUUUACCUGGCUCCGAAUAAAUCUAAGAUUGUGGGUUCUAUGGACAGACCUGGAUAUGCCAUUUGUUCUGAAGAUUAGAAGCUCACAGAUGGCUCCUGCUUUGUAAAGAUAAGCCUUCAUCCAAAGGACAAUGGGCCCUCUUUUCCCGUCUUUCCUUUCCCUCUAUUCCCAUGAAAUGCAACUGUAAACUCAGUAUCUGCUGGAUGCCAGGAAUGAGUUCACCUAACAAAUAGCUCAUGUGUUUGGACCUCAGCAGAGCCUGUCCUGCAAGCCCUGGCUUCUGCCCUCCAGUAUCUGCUGGAAGUUAUCCAUAGGACUGCUUGGUCAACCAAGUAUCUGUGAGAUCAGUGGUAUGGCAAGCACAAGCAAAAAAACAAAAGAAUGGGUUUUUAUUGGUCUUUUCGAAGAAUGAAAAGCAAGAGAACUUCCUCCAGCCUGGCAACGCGUGUGCGGAGGCAGGGUUUACAGUUAAGGUCAAUGCCCUGGCAGAGGUGGCUGUUUUGAAUGAACCCAAGCUAUACUGCAGUGCCCAGGAAGAACUCUUCAAGAAGUUUACAUAUGCCUCUCCUAGUAUUCAAGAGUCAUCAUGUGAGAGGGACGAUCUUAAGAAGUUCAAGAACGAUACUAGAUAAAAUUACUUAGAAGUCUAAUCUGCUUUUUCUUGAUACCUAACCUUAAAGCCAAACAAACCAUGGGACAUUCGGGACUGCUCCUUUCCAGCAGGGCAAGUCAUUAACCAGCGUUAAGUUUCAAGAACCUCCGUUGAUUGAUUGCCUGGAGAAUUCGGCACGCCCUCCCAAUUCCCUUGGGCAUUUUCCAUCAGCGCUGGGUACUGGCAGGAGGCUCAGGUCUCCUCUUGCUAGUCCUCACUCAGGGUCUGCAGCUAUGACGGCUGAGGGGUCUGUCUCCUGCAGAGCGCCUUCUCUCGGCAGUCCCCAGGGGGAUCGUUCACAACCGCCUGAGGGCCAGUCGAUGGCCUCCCCAAAAGAAGGGUGGUGGCCCAUUGUCCAUAUGAGUGGAAACUGAACCACGUCUCCCCACGCCUACCUCUUGGGAGAACCGGCCAUCGGCAGAUAGCAGGUAGCCCAUUCAAACCACUCACCUCGUACUUCCGGGAAGAGGGGAAGAGGCGCAGCCCUGCGCCUGCGCACUCCGCAGCCACCGUCUCCCCCUGGGAGUGCGAGUCCCGCCCCCGCGGAGUCCGCCGCUUUCGGGCUCCGGCCCGCGCAGCCGCGGCCCGGGAGACCACCAGCGGCUGGUAGUUGCUGUCAGUCUGUCUCCUCUGAGUUUUUAGGGAGUUAGUCACAUAGUCAUUUUUUUGGUUCCUAGUGUAGUUAGGACCAAUCAACAGACUUAGCCUGCACUGUAAACCAUUCUUUAAGUACACUAAAAAAAUUUUUGAAAUAAAUAUAAUACAGGUGCGUGGUUUAAAAAAGAAAAUCAGAUCCGACCAAGUUUAUGAAGAACAACAAUUCCCUGGCCCUCCGUUCCCAACCUGCUUACUUCUUUCCUUCCUCGCAAUCACACUUGCUCAUGUUCCCAAAGUGUUUUGUCCAACUGUCUUCUCCAUUGAUUUUUUGUUUUGUUUGUUUUGCUGGUGUGAAACCCUGGGCCUCACACAAGCACAUAGGGCUCUAUUAGUUUUGAAUUGGAACCCAGCUGCUGUCAACAAAGUUCUAAGAUUAUAGUUUUUUAGCUAAAUUAUCUCUAACUUCCAUUAACUACAGGCUAAUGAGGUUCAGUAGGUGGGACAGGGAUACUGGCAUGUUGAGAAUGGUGUUAAGAACUGUCUACACAUCUGCAGGUUACUGCGGAGUCCUCUGUACCACUAGAACCCAGUUUCUGAGUCCCAGGUUACUGGAUCUGAGCCCACUCCAACUGACAUCUGCCUUCAGGACAGCCUGGCAAGUUCUACCUAUCUACUCUGGAUUUGACCUUUCCCUCUAUCCCUCUACCUCUUCUCCUGCAGAUAUCUUAGCCCUUGGAAUCUCCUGUGGAAAACAGGGUUUUCUAACCCCACCACCAGAACAAAGGACUGUGUACACUUUCACCACCACAGUCUUUCCCAAGGACAGCCUGGCCACGUGUGAAGAGAGCCAUUUCAUAGGCCUAAUGUUUUAACCAUCACACUUUGUGAAAUGUGUACCCUAAAGCUCUGAUAUUCAAAUAUAGGUUCUUAAGCUCCAGCCUAGGUCUGGACAGGGCCUGGGAAUCUUAAGCUCCUCAAGUGAUUCUGUCACAGAGGAUAGAGGACCACUCUUUGAGAAACACUGUCCUUAGGAAAUCAAUUUAAAACUGAUCUAUUUGUGUAAGAAGAUGUUCCCAUGAAACUACUUAAAAUAGGGGGGGAAAGUGAUAAGUACCCCAUGAUUGGGAAACAUUAAACAUUACACCUUUAUUUUUUUGUGUGUGCAGUAUUGAACCCAGGAUUGAACCCAGGGGCUCUCUGGGCUAAGUUACAUCCCUAGCCCUUUUAAUUUUUUGAGACAAGUUCUCUAUAAGUGGCCUGGCUGACCUCAAACUUGUAAUCGUCUUGCUUCCCAAGUAGUUGAGAUUACGUAUGUGAGAUAUCAUGUUCAACUAAAUAGAAUAAUUUAAUGAAAUUACAUUUUGCCUUGAAGUCUAAAAGAUUGUGGGACAAUAAACUGAGGCACAUACCUGAAUUGCCUUGAAAUUAUUUGGUGCGAUGCCAGAGUGCAAGUUAUUCUGAUAAUGAAUUUCUAGUUCUCACAUGGUGAAAAAAAAUCCUUUUUUAAAAAAAAAUUUUUAUUGUGGUGGUGGUUAUAAAGUUGUAUGUAUGUUUGAGCUUCUGAGGAGGCAGGAUUGAGACACUGAAAGGCUGAACCAACUCCGCGUGAGCAGAGUGGCAGAGGAUGUUUUUGAUAGCACCCCUAACCAGGAAACAGAUUCCUGUGGGCAAGCAGUGACUCACCCCCCAGUCUCAGUGAGUCAACAGUGUCCUAAGGGAGCCAGGGCUGGCAGCCUUCUGCUGCAAGGGAUGUAAGCAGGGCCUAGACUUAGUCCAGGAUAUCAGUGUGACAGAUCAGGGGUGACAGAACAGAUCCCAAGGAGUGGAAAGGGAGCUGAAUCCUUUGAAUGGGUCAGGUUAAAAAAAAAAAAAAACUACAGAAUAAAGCAAGUUAAAAAAGAGAGAAAGAGAGAGAGAACACAAGCCAGGGCAGUGGAGCAUGCCUAUAAUCCCAGCAGCUUGGAGGCUGAGGUAGGAGAAUCUCAAGUUCAAAGCCAGAGUCAGCAAUUUUUGGACGCCCUAAAGCAACUUAGCAAGACCCUGUCUCAAAAUAAAAAAUAAAUCAAAAGGAUUGGGAAUGUUGCUCAAUGGUUAAGCACCCCUGGGUUCAAUCCCCAGUACCCACUCCCCCUAUAAAAGAUAGAACACAAGAGAGCAUGUGCCAUUAUUAGUAAUUACAAGAGAAAAUUCAUUAGUAUCAGAAAUCAUUAGAUUCCAUGAUAGAUUAUGUGGAAGUUGGUAUAGUGGCACACACCUGUGAUCUCAGUGACUUGGGAGGCUGAAGCAGAAGGACCACAAGUUCAAAGAUAGCCUCAGCAAUUUAAGGAGGCCCUAAGCAACUUUGUGAGACCCUGUCUCUAAAUAAAAUAUUUUUAAAAGGGGUAAGAAUGUGGCUCAGUGGUUAAACAGCCCUGUGUUCAAUCCCCAGUAUCCCCGCCCCCCAAAAAAAAUUAAGGAAGGGGGCAGAAUUUUUCCAGAGUUCUUAUUCUGAAUAAGAAAAAGGGCAUUUGAAAAACAGCUGGGGUAGGGAUGGGAGACAGUGUUGGAGAUAGAUUUAAGUGGCAGAGGGCUUGCCAAUCAUGUACAAGGCCCUGGGUCCAAUCCCUGGCACCAAAAUUAAAAAGAAAAAUAGCCAGGCACGAUGGUGCAGAUUCAUGGUCCCAGCUACUGGAAGGACUGACACAGAAGGAUCACUUGAGCCCAGGAGUUUGAAACAAGCUCAGUCAAACCCUGUCCUUAAGUGUGUGUGUGUGUGUGUGUAAGUAUAUAUAAAAAAUAUAUAAAUAUAUAAUUUUUUCAGGUUUAUGUGGAGUGAGAGCUAUUAAAAGCACAUGUGUCCAAAGGGGACAAUUAGUGAACCUAGGUGAAAAGUCUAAACAUGUUCAUGGUGUUAUUCUUUCAUCAUUCCUGUGGGUUUGAAGUGCUUCAAAACAAGGCAUUGGAGAAAGUAUAGCAGUGAACAGACUCACAAUUGGCCUCCUUGUUGAGGUGGCUUUCCAGGGACUACAGUCACAUUUGCCAGCAAAGGACCCUGACAUUCAAGGGCUAUUGUUUGAUUUUGUGUUACUAGCAACAGACUUCCUGGGACUUUGUGAAGGAAGGAGCUGGACUAGUAGGGGCUGCUUUUCAAGCAGAUUCCAAGUGUACGAGAUUCUGAGCUGGCUGAUGACGAUGGCAGGCAUUAAAGGGUGGACAGGUUCCAGUUUGUCUGGUGUUGAGAAAAAAAUAUGCCCUAUAUCUUAGACAGCCGUGAUAAGGUGCCUCCAUGGAUAUGAGUAAUGGUCAGACCCAGGGGAUGGACAGGCCUAAGAAGUCUGGACAACGGAAAGCCUGGAGCACCGCGACAAGGAAAUUCUUCCCCUGAAUUGCCUUUUCCUAUUGAGAUAAGAUAAUGCACAAUAAAGCGUGGGGCUACAGAGAAGUGCUGCCACCACCCACAGCGAGCAGCCUUUGCACAGGCCCAGUGGAGGAGGCACGUAGCCUCCAGGGGGCUGAAGCUGGCCUGCUACCCACGGGAUAGAACCAUUGACCUUAGAUCCUGAGGCAGGUCGUGACUCCCAACACUCACCAGCUGUGGAACUCUGAUUCCCAUUAUUCUUUUUUUUUUUCUUCUUUUUCUUAGUUAUGGUGCUGGGGAUGGAACCCAGUGCCUUGUGCACGCUAAACACAUUCUAUACUCCAGUCACCAGCCACACCACCAGUGCCGGAGUCCCUUUAUUCUUUUAAAAAAAAAGACUACAUGUGUGUGUCUCUAUAUAUGUAUAUAUACCCCUCUUCUACCUUACUGAAUGGUUGCAAAAAGUGAUAAUAAAUCAUGAAAGGACUUUGUCAACUCCUAA